Long non-coding RNA from Gadus chalcogrammus (walleye pollock), 1677 nucleotides. RefSeq lists it as uncharacterized. The record is from RefSeq and is a predicted model, not a curated record. The transcript has 5 exons. Lineage: Eukaryota; Metazoa; Chordata; Actinopteri; Gadiformes; Gadidae.
CGUAUUAAAGAGACUCAGGAUUCCAAACAAGGCCACCAUAAAAAAGUGAUAUCACAGAUGUCCUUAAACAGAAGUCCAGUCUUGCUGGACUUCUGUCUGUCUUUUAUGGAAUCCACAAAAUUAGCUUUAGAAAAUAUGGAAGGUAGAGAAACCAGUGUUUCAGGAAUGUGUUGUCAUGUGUUGUCUGCAAUAGGAUUUUAGUGUCAGCGCAAGUGUCAACGUGGUCGGGAAUAAACUGGUGGGAGCGGUCACCUUAAACCGGUUGGACAUGUCCCUGGGGAAAAGCUACGUUGGGGACUUCAAGGUCGGAUCCCUUAGCAACAUCUUCCAAAUAGUCCUCAAGUGGGUGGUGUUACCCACAGUUAACGUGCGACUAAAGGAGGGCUUCCCUCUACCCAGCCUGGGGAAAAUCAACCUGAAAAACGCCCAGCUGCAAAUCCUGAAGGGCUACAUACUGAUCGGGACAGACCUCCAGAUUUCCGGAUGACGGUUCCUGAAAACCAACAGAUCACUCCAGACAUCUGUCCGAGAACAAGGCAGAAAUUAAACCUUGAAUUCACAUUUUGUUCUGGGAUCAAUAAGCAUUACAUUAUAAGUUUGUAAUCACUUUCUUUGAUAUGCUUUCAGGGCUUGUUUCAAUUAUGACACAUAUUUGUAGUUUCCUAUGUUUUUUAAUGCACACAUCCAGGUAUUAACACCAACAAAAGUAUUUUUCCUUUAAAUGUAUGAAUGCUUCAAUAAGUUACAUUAAAUACAUUUACUUUCAACAAUACAUUUUGUCAUAAAUGGCUACAUCUUGUGUGUGUGGAUAUUAGACAAGGGUUCUAGAAGCUUCUGUGUCGAGCUGGCCAAUCAGUUCAUCCUGUUGUACUGGGUUGUCACUUAGAGAACUGAGGCUCAGAGCACGCCCCGCAGACUCUGGGAGUUUGCCGACGUUAUCUAGAGAGGGCAAAGCAAAAAAGAUAAAACACUAGCAAUUACAAACAAGUGCCAUCUAAUUAUAACCUACAUUAACAGUAAAAAGAGACAUUCAAUAGUUACGUACAGUCUCAAAUAAAAAAAUGUCAAGAAGAGAAUAUCAAGCAUGUUACAGUUCUACUGCAAUGAACCCGAGAGCGAAGCAUACCUUCACUAGUACAUAGUCUCCAGCUUUGGCCUCGGCCAUACCAGAGUCCAGAGAACUGUCCCUCCCCUCCCUGGGGAAAAUCACCUUCACGUUCCCGUCGCUCCUGCCACACAAGUCCUGGGCCGAUCUCUUACUAGCCUGAACAAAGAUACAAACAUCGGCUAACACCAGAUGUCGGCAUGAAUAUGGCAGAUAAUAACUUGUUUUAAGGUGGCAUUUCAUAAAGAAAUAGACAUCACUGUGCCAUGUGGCUGUGUUUCUAUCCACCGUCUAACGUCAUGACACAAUGGCGUCCAUCGACACCCUUAUGACCGCCGGGCCUACAUGUGAUGGUUAGGCGGGCUGCGGCUGCAGUACUCACCCCCUCCACCAGGACGAGCUGUGUGGUGCCCACCAGGGCGCUGUUGACCUUUGCCGCCUCUUCCCUGAAGGCGGAGAUGAGCUCCUCCAGCCGGCGCUGCUUCACCUCACUGGGGACGUCGUCCUGGAGGGCGUGGGAGGCGUGUGUUUUCUGGAGACGGACGCAGUGAUAAGAUCCUUUAGCAGGAUUU